GAUGAACGCUGGCGGCGUGCCUAAUACAUGCAAGUCGAGCGAACAGAUGAGGAGCUUGCUCCUCUGACGUUAGCGGCGGACGGGUGAGUAACACGUGGAUAACCUACCUAUAAGACUGGGAUAACUUCGGGAAACCGGAGCUAAUACCGGAUAAUAUAUUGAACCGCAUGGUUCAAUAGCGAAAGACGGUUUUGCUGUCACUUAUAGAUGGAUCCGCGCCGCAUUAGCUAGUUGGUAAGGUAACGGCUUACCAAGGCAACGAUGCGUAGCCGACCUGAGAGGGUGAUCGGCCACACUGGAACUGAGACACGGUCCAGACUCCUACGGGAGGCAGCAGUAGGGAAUCUGCCGCAAUGGGCGAAAGCCUGACGGAGCAACGCCGCGUGAGUGAUGAAGGUCUUCGGAUCGUAAAACUCUGUUAUUAGGGAAGAACAAAUGUGUAAGUAACUAUGCACGUCUUGACGGUACCUAAUCAGAAAGCCACGGCUAACUACGUG
RNAcentral lists this ribosomal RNA (497 nucleotides) under uncultured bacterium. RNAcentral's name for it is "partial 16S ribosomal RNA". It matches the Rfam family "Bacterial small subunit ribosomal RNA", at positions 28 to 507 of the family's 1533-position model. The record is from RNAcentral.